RNAcentral lists this ribosomal RNA (603 nucleotides) under Triticum aestivum (bread wheat). RNAcentral's name for it is "partial small subunit ribosomal RNA". Lineage: Eukaryota; Viridiplantae; Streptophyta; Magnoliopsida; Poales; Poaceae. The record is from RNAcentral.
AUGUCUAAUGUUCUUGUUUCUCCCGACCUAGUCAUGAACUUUGUAUAUGUUCGUCGCCUUGCUCGUGAGAAUCACAUUACUGUUGAAUUUGACGAUGUUGGUUUUUCUGUGAAGGACGCCCGUACCCAGAUGGUUCUCCAUCGAUGUGAUAGCCCUGACGAGCUCUACCCAGUGCACUCCUCCGCCACCACCUCCACCCACCCAGUCGCCCUUGCCGCCAGUGUCGACCUUUGUCAUGCUCGUCUCGGACAACCCAACUCCACCGUUUUGCGUCAAAUUCUUCGGAGUUUUUCAUUCUCAUGUAAUAAGGUUGACGACCAUACUUGUGAGGCUUGUCAUCUUGGCAAGCACGUUCGUCUCCCCUUUAGCACGUCUACAACUAUUUCCACUUUUCCGUUUCAGUUACUUCAUAGUGUGUUUGGACAUCCCCGGUUGCAAGCAACACGGGCUAACCUAUACUACUUGGUGAUUUUAGAUGAUUUCUCUCAUUAUGUGUGGACAUUUCCUCUUCGUCGCAGGUCUGAUGCCCUUGCCACACUCACCGCCUUUUAUUCCUACGUCACCGCACAGUUCGGUUCGUCCUAUCCUUGCACUACAAACUGA